Long non-coding RNA from Capra hircus (goat), 404 nucleotides. RefSeq lists it as uncharacterized. Lineage: Eukaryota; Metazoa; Chordata; Mammalia; Artiodactyla; Bovidae. The transcript is spliced from 4 exons. The record is from RefSeq and is a predicted model, not a curated record.
UGCAUCGACAGGCGGAUUCUUUACCACUGAGCCACCAGGGAAGCCCCAAGAAACGUCUUCUAUCCUGGCUCCUCAGAGCUCUCUGAGAGGUGGUGUCCUAGGUUGCAGUCCUCAGUAAGAUGCCUGGACUCACAACUUUUAGAUUGCACCGUGGGCGGCCAGGCUGCACCUCCAGGUCUACGAGUCAUACCUUGCAUAGAGCGAGAAUGGAAGCUUUGCCUUCAACAGAGGAGAGGGUUGGUCUGUCUCAACAUUUGAAAGUAUGCAUAAGCACCAGGAUGAGCCUCUGCAUCUUCAAAAAGUGCCCUUGGAAGGCAUUCAUCUCACCUAAAUGGAAAAAGUGCUCAUUAGGCAAUGGCACCCCACUCCAGUACUCUUGCCUGGAAAAUCCUAUGGACAGAGGA